UAUCAAUAUGCAAGGAUGGUUUUGGAUGAAAAGUAGAGCUUCGACUCUUUUUGUAAUUUGGACAUCCCUAAUUCAAGAAGGUGAUAACAAUUCCAAUGGAGGUUGCAGUUAUGGUGAAGUCAAGGUUGGAAACAAUUGUACAGAUUGUCCGGUUGGAUAUUUUGGGGAAAGUUGCACCGAUAAAUGUACCCCACCUAGCUACGGAGAGUUAUGUAGUGACGUAUGUGACUGUACAUUAUGCCAUCACAUAUUCGGUUGCAAUGAAACAGGGGAGA
Molecule: long non-coding RNA, 275 nt
Organism: Magallana angulata
Lineage: Eukaryota; Metazoa; Mollusca; Bivalvia; Ostreida; Ostreidae
Exons: 3
Source: RefSeq, a predicted model, not a curated record